UACGAAGGGGGCUAGCGUUGCUCGGAAUCACUGGGCGUAAAGGGUGCGUAGGCGGGUCUUUAAGUCAGGGGUGAAAUCCUGGAGCUCAACUCCAGAACUGCCUUUGAUACUGAAGAUCUUGAGUUCGGGAGAGGUGAGUGGAACUGCGAGUGUAGAGGUGAAAUUCGUAGAUAUUCGCAAGAACACCAGUGGCGAAGGCGGCUCACUGGCCCGAAACUGACGCUGAGGAGCGAAAGCGUGGGUAGCAAACAGG
This 253-nucleotide ribosomal RNA is filed under the name uncultured bacterium. RNAcentral describes it as "partial 16S ribosomal RNA". It matches the Rfam family "Bacterial small subunit ribosomal RNA", at positions 524 to 776 of the family's 1533-position model. The record is from RNAcentral.